GACGUCACGCGCACCCUUCAAACGACCCAGAAGAGAAGGAUCCGGGAGGCUGCAGCGAAUAUGGUGUUGUUAAGACGCUCCCCUCCAAAUACUGAGUAGGAUCUGUGCCCAUACCGAAAUGAUUGACCACAGAAAGUUUGUCAUGUCCUGCCGUUUGUUUGCUUUUCAUUUUGUCUCGUGUAUUUUUGUUUUAUUUAUGAACACCUUUGCUACUUUUUGUGCAAAACAAUAAACAUUUGAAAAAUUA
This is a long non-coding RNA of Brienomyrus brachyistius, 247 nucleotides long. RefSeq lists it as uncharacterized. Lineage: Eukaryota; Metazoa; Chordata; Actinopteri; Osteoglossiformes; Mormyridae. The transcript has 2 exons. The record is from RefSeq and is a predicted model, not a curated record.